CAAAACAAUCCUAAAAACUUUACUGACAUUGGUGGUGGAGUCAUAGGAUGCGGAGGUUUUCCUUAUAAUUUGAGGACUUCACAAGGAGGCCUUUCUUUGAGUAUUGAUGUCUCUACUACUAUUACUGUGUGUCCUAGACCAGUGGUUGAUUUUCUACUUGCAAAUUAAAAUGUCAAGGAUGCAUACCAACUGGACUAGAACAAGGCUAGAAGAGCUUUGAAAAUUUGAGAGUGAGGACAACUCAUACAAAUCAAGAAUUUAAAAUCAUUGGGAUAAGUGACAAGCCUUGCAAAGAUGAAAUGUGAGUCUUUCCAGGUUGUG
Molecule: long non-coding RNA, 321 nt
Organism: Zingiber officinale
Lineage: Eukaryota; Viridiplantae; Streptophyta; Magnoliopsida; Zingiberales; Zingiberaceae
Exons: 3
Source: RefSeq, a predicted model, not a curated record